RNAcentral lists this long non-coding RNA (546 nucleotides) under Salmo salar (Atlantic salmon). RNAcentral describes it as "lncRNA (ENSSSAG00000106160.1)". The record is from RNAcentral. Lineage: Eukaryota; Metazoa; Chordata; Actinopteri; Salmoniformes; Salmonidae.
GUGGUAGCUGGCUAGUAACAGUCACUAAGGUUCAGGGCAGGGUACUGGGUGGAGGCAGGCUAGUAACAGUCACUAAGGUUCAGGGCAGGGUACUGGGUGGAGGCUGGCUAGUAACAGUCACUAAGGUUCAGGGCAGGGUACUGGGUGGAGGCCGGCUAGUAACAGUCACUAAGGUUCAGGGCAGGGUACUGGGUGGAGGCUAGUAACAGUCACUAAGGUUCAGGGCAGGGUACUGGGUGGAGGCUGGCUAGUAACAGUCACUAAGGUUCAGGGCAGGGUACUGGGUGGAGGCUGGCUAGUAACAGUCACUAAGGUUCAGGGCAGGGUACUGGGUGGAGGCUGGCUAGUAACAGUGACUAAGGUUCAGGGCAGGGUACUGGGUGGAGGCAGGCUAGUAACAGUCACUAAGGUUCAGGGCAGGGUACUGGGUGGAGGCAGGCUAGUAACAGUCACUAAGGUUCAGGGCAGGGUACUGGGUGGAGGCUGGCUAGUAACAGUGACUAAGGUUCAGGGCAGGGUACUGGGUGGAGGCAGGCUAGUAACAGU